UUCUAAAUGUUUGAUCUUCAGUGUACGUGUGUGAGGAGAACUAUUCUUCAGGACAUGAAAUGAGGAAUUGGGCGAGCCAGACAUCACUGACACAAAAUACCUCUCCUACUGAUUUCGUUAUCAUGGACAACG
This is a long non-coding RNA of Sinocyclocheilus grahami, 132 nucleotides long. RefSeq lists it as uncharacterized. NCBI's taxonomy places the organism in Eukaryota, Metazoa, Chordata, Actinopteri, Cypriniformes, Cyprinidae. The transcript is spliced from 3 exons. The record is from RefSeq and is a predicted model, not a curated record.